Molecule: unclassified non-coding RNA, 332 nt
Filed under: soil metagenome
Description: partial contains 5.8S ribosomal RNA, internal transcribed spacer 2, and large subunit ribosomal RNA
Rfam family: 5.8S ribosomal RNA (bases 1-120)
Source: RNAcentral
GAUGAAGAACGUAGCGAAAUGCGAUAAGUAGUGUGAAUUGCAGAAUUCAGUGAAUCAUCGAAUUUUUGAACGCACAUUGCGCCCUUUGGUAUUCCUUAGGGCAUGCCUGUUCGAGCGUCAUUUAAACCUUCAAGCUAAGCUUGGUGUUGGGUGACUGUCCGCUUCACGGCGGACUCGCCUCAAAAUUAUUGGCGGCCGGUACAUUGGCUUCGAGCGCAGCAGAAACGCGAACUCGGGCCCGUCGUAUUGGCUCCCAGAAGCUAUCUUCACAAUUUUGACCUCGGAUCAGGUAGGGAUACCCGCUGAACUUAAGCAUAUCAAUAAGCGGAGGA